UAGAGCUUAACCGUGAAAUCUUAUCUCCGUAGAAUCUCUAACUACUCAAAUUGAUAACCCUAUUGUGUGUCUCCCCUAUAAAUAUAGACAUAUACCUCAUACCUCAAGCUUUUUGCAAUCCCUCAAACACUCGUGAAAAACUAGAGAAAAUAGAACGGCAAUCGCCAAGGUUGGUUCCCAUCUACUUUCGGCUUCACCGAGACACCAUCAAACAACCUCGAUCACCACUGCGAAGAUAAACCCUUUACAGCCCUCACAACCCUCUACAACUACGGCCUUUCGGUUCCCAAAACCGCCAACUAACGAAGAGUACGUAGAAGGCUGAAGGAAGGUUUACUAGUACUUGUGUGCGGUUGUGAGACUAAGCUUAAUAAGGUAUGCGUGGCACGUCAUGAGCGACCGUUUCACAACAACUAGUAGCAAGUUAUUAAUAACGUAGAUCACCUAAAGACAAUCAGUUGGGUUUUAUUCAAUUCAGUUUGUAACGAUAUUUUGGGUAGU
This is a long non-coding RNA of Spinacia oleracea (spinach), 501 nucleotides long. RefSeq lists it as uncharacterized. NCBI's taxonomy places the organism in Eukaryota, Viridiplantae, Streptophyta, Magnoliopsida, Caryophyllales, Amaranthaceae. The transcript has 3 exons. The record is from RefSeq and is a predicted model, not a curated record.